GCAGAAGAAUCGCUUGAACCCCGGGAGGCGGAGGUUACAAUCUGUUUCUUAGAAGUGGACACGUGAACUCUUACACAGAUCAAGAGGAGCAGCUCUGUAAAUAUUUCCCUGAGAGACUGCGUGGCAAACGUGAAUCCUCAGUUCUGCAAAACCGCGCAGGGGAGAGAAAAAGCCGCCCACGAAUUGAACUGUCUGCACCG
Molecule: long non-coding RNA, 200 nt
Filed under: Homo sapiens (human)
Lineage: Eukaryota; Metazoa; Chordata; Mammalia; Primates; Hominidae
Description: HSALNT0362861
Source: RNAcentral